RNAcentral lists this long non-coding RNA (214 nucleotides) under Mytilus galloprovincialis (Mediterranean mussel). Lineage: Eukaryota; Metazoa; Mollusca; Bivalvia; Mytilida; Mytilidae. The record is from RNAcentral.
GUAAAAGAUAAUCGUACACUAGCAAUGUGGCACCAGCGUUUAUGUUGAUAACAAAGCAAAAAAACCUCCAAGAAUACAACUAAAAAUCAACGAAUUAAAAAAAAAAUAGUCUUCAAAUCACAUUACAAAAAUCUGACAGAGCCCCAUACACAACCCUCACCAAAAACCAGGGGUGCUCUUUUUCAAUUAUGUAUAUUAUUAAACUAAGCAGACA